Molecule: long non-coding RNA, 5100 nt
Filed under: Sus scrofa (pig)
Lineage: Eukaryota; Metazoa; Chordata; Mammalia; Artiodactyla; Suidae
Description: lncRNA (ENSSSCG00000058332.1)
Source: RNAcentral
AGGGUAAAUUUUGUAUUUAUGUAUAUUUUGCCACAGUUUUUUUUUUUAAUUUAAAAUUUAAGAAAAACUUAAAAGGAACUCAGUAAAUAUUGGCUGCACAUAAAUCCAGCUGAACUGAAGAAACGUGUUAGAGGGCAGCCCGAGGGUCCUACUGGUGACUGGAUUUGCGGACACAGAGGAGCUGUUCCCAAGGGGCAGGGGGUGGCUCCCAGGGACCUUUGCUGUCAGUGUCUAGAGGAGAGAUUCUGGGAGAAAGCAUCAUUAGGCUGAAAGCAGCCCCGUCCUGGAGAGGGAGCCACCCAGAGAAUGAAUAGCUGACCUCCUGUUCCCGAGCUUCUCUGCUAAUUAAAACUUGCUGUUAGUGGUGUAGGGGCCUGGCCCUUGCUGGCUCGGUUGGGUUGUUGCAGCCUAACUGCCCUCCCCUGGGGCUGACUCAGGAGCGUGUGAGGAGUUACCCGUAGGCCCCUUAGUGAGUCUUUCUGCCCCUGGAGCUGGGAACCGCACAGUCAGGAACCCACGAGGUGAUGAGGCGUCUUACUCUGCAGAUGCCUGGAUAGUGUUUUUUCACUGGGUGGGGGAGGGACGGCGGGGGCCAUCAGUGCCCUGGUGAGCAUGGCCAGUGCCCGGCCCUCAGGCAAUGUCACUUCCAGUGGAAGUGGCCUCCUUCCUGCUGAUUGCCUCUGGGCAUCCCUCCACCCUCCAGGCGGCUGCAUUCUUCCCAGCUUUCUCUGUAGACGCUGUGUUGGGCCACACGGUCUCAGGUCUCACCGGGGCUCCUGCCCUCAAGAGGCUGGUUGUCCAGAGGCAUCCUUGCCGAGAGUCCCAGAAAGGAGAGGAGUCGGGGUGGCUGCUUGGGCAGUAGGGACACGGGGCUUGGGUGCGCUUACAGGUCCCCCAUGGCAGGUGGGCAGGAAGUGAGCGCCCAGGGUGGGGGAGGUGACUGGAGGGGGAGAAGGGAGGGAGAGGAAGGUUAGAGGGGAGGCAACGGGGAGGCAAGUCUGGCUCCUUUUCUGACAAUGGUGGCACCUCUGAGGACCAGCCGUCCAUCUGCAGAAGGCACUGAUAGGUCUCUUGCUCCAGCUCCUGCCUAUGUCCCACGGUGGAUCAACAGCUCUGGGACCUGUCCUGGCCGGGCAGGGUCCCCAUGGGUCACUGCAGCCUCACUGCCCCUCCCCUCGCUGCAGGGGCCUGUGUGAGGAGCAGCUGCCAGGGACCAUGCAGGAGAGGGUCCCUCCCACCCAGCUGUCCAGAGGGCAGGCCCUCGGCACCCCCAGCUUCCCACACUCUCUUGCCUUUGGGGACAGGGCCAGGUGGUGCUGGUGGGCUGGACCCCAGGGUCCCCACACAGGGCCCAGGGGUGAGCCUCGAGCUGGCGUGGCUGCACCAGCCUCCCGGGCACCCGUCACACUUUGCUUUGAUCUCGGCUGCGGAUGUGAUGAUCUGCCGCAGCUGCAGCUACUGAUGUUGGAGGGGGUGCGGGGGCGGGGCCUUGCCCAGGAAGGAAGGCGGCUGAUGCGCUAGCAGUCAGGGCCAGGCCCUGGAGACACAGCCAGGCACCCCUUACAGUGGAGGGUCCAGCAAACACUUCAUUUCCUAGGGCCUGAGUCAUUCCAACAUUUCAGAGAAAAUGCAGGCUGCUGCCCAGAGCUGAGGAAGCCCACAGCUGUUCCCUCCUGGUGCCAGACACGCCCCUAGAGCACAGCCCCUGGGGUUUGCUGCAGGAGCUCUCAGCUCUGCGUCAGGCACUUCCUCUCCCUCUCAGACCACCAGUGCCCUCCACCGUGCCCUCUGGGGCUUUUCCAGCUACCUGGCCCAGGGCUCGGCCCCUGGACACGUGCUCUGCCUAAGGAAGAGCCACACCAUGCCUGACCUCUGGGUCCCCGGCUCCAAAGCUGAGCAGAAAACGGAUGUCCAGGGUCAGCCCGUGGCUGCGCUCCAGGCCUGGCCUCCGGGUCCUGUGGGGUCCAGGCCCCUCCUCCCCGCUCCCAGCCUCAACCUUGUUCCCGGCAGCCACAGCAGCCUGCCCUCUGCCCUCCCUGACUGUCUGUUUCCCUUGCUUUCAUUCAUUUCCCAUGCAUUUGUUGAAUAUAUAUUUUUAGCAAAAAAGAAAAAAAGAGCAACCCAAAUACCAGCAUGACCUGUUCCACCAGGCGCGGCGUCUGCUUUCUUGGUCUGGGGAAAUAUACACAAAGCAUUACAUAGCAGUCAUUGCAAUUAGCGGCAUGUGCACGUGAGCCAGCAGCCUUGGGCCCUCCAGGUACCGCUCUGGAUUGGAGCUGCUGUAAGAGGCACAGAGGAGGGAGGAGGGGGCUGGCUCUCUGGGCCUUCCCCCUCUAAGGCUGCCUUCUCUGGGACCCACUGUCAGCACACAGCUUCCCUUGAGGACAGUGCUUUAUUAAAUCAGCCCAUCUUAGGUCCUCAGCCUCCAUCAGGCAUUCAGGCCACAGCAGGGGCAGGAGCAGAAGAUGUGCUUGGAAACCUCAGCCUAUCUGCACCCCACACCCAUCCCCCUCAACAUACUAAUGGCUCAAGGAUAGUUACAGGUCCUGAGGGACAGCCAGACCUGCCAGGUCCCCCAGAAGCCCUUGGACCAGAGAAGGAGCAUCAAGGCCAUGUCCCCACUGUGUCCAGGCAGCCGCCCUGACUCCUCAGCCACAUAUUGGGGCGGUAUGUGGCUGAGGCUGUAGCAGUAACCAUGCAUUUGCAGUGGCCAAGUCACUGGAAAUUCCAGGUGUGCACAGCCCUGCCUCCCAUUCAGGCUCCACUCAGGCCCCAGUGUUGUCACAGCUGCUCCUGCUGGCUCUUCCUGCCUCUCACCUUUCCGGGCACCUCUUUCUGGCUCCCAGGGGCGUGGCAAAGGGGGAGCAGGUGUCUUACUAACAUUGGCUCCCAAUGUCCCCUGGGUCUGAUGGGAGUAAGGGGGAGGUUUCUGCCUUCUGCCUCCAGUUUACGCAGUGAGCUCCACUUCCAGCAGCCCACGUUGACCUGGGUCAGCAUCUCUGCCAGCUUCCUCAUCUGUAAGGGGGCGGGGGGGGGGAGUCUGUCCCCACCUCAUUGGUUGGAUGGGAUGAUUAAGUGCAAUCCCACUUGGCUUGGUGUUGACAUUAAUUAAUUGCUUAAUUCAUUAAUUCUGGUGAGCACCGUGGGUGUCAGGUAUGGACGGCUCUAGGUUCUGGGGAUAAAGCAGUGACAUAGAACUUCCAUGGAGUGGUAUGUGUAUGAGGGUUUGUGGAGGGAACAGACAGGAAACAAGUAAAAAAUGAGGGGAUUUCAGACAGUAACAUGUGCUAAGAAGACAGUAAAUUGUAUGGGGUGGGGGCCAAGGGCUCAAGCAGAAAUUCAAAUGAGGAAAAAGGAGCUGCGUGUCAUGUAAGGAAGGGCUUUCUAGGCAGAGGGAUCCUUUAAAGCUGAACCAACUGUAUCAGAACAGGAAUUGAAUCCUACCUCAGAGGAACAUUGCAGAUCCAGCUUGGGGUGAACCCUGAGGCCACCUGGGCCUGACCAUGCACCAACAACUCUUUAGGAGAUGUUCUGAGAACACACAGGGCCAAGCUCCAGGAGGCUUGUGGUUUGGUGAACAUUCUCUCCAUAGGGCUGAGCAGAUCCAUCAGUUACCCUCUAGUAUCCAUUCUUGCUCUUCUUCCAUCCUUCUUUGUCCCUUCCUCCAUCCUCUGCCAGGAAUGUGGAUGUGAUGGCUGGAGCUCCAGCUAUCAUGUUGGACCAUGAGUAAGAGGCACACAUUCUGGAGAUGACAGACUAGUGAGCUGGAAACCUCUGGUGUCUGUGACCUUUGUAGAGUGGACUAUUUACCUCCAUACUUUGUCAUGAGAAAGAAAAAAUAAACUGCUAUUUUGUUUAAUUCACAAACAAGGAAGCUCAGACCCCCUUCUUGAGACUCAGAUCCUGGGUGUUGGAAGCCUGUUCCUCUUGUAUUUCUCAGUAGCUUUAUAAAUCUUUUCUGGUAGAACCACUGUCCUUAUACAUCCUUUGCAAAUCUUAAACAGUGAAACACAGCGCCGGGAAGGUCUGAUGAACGGCACUCCUCCGCUGAUUGUGUGAUUGAUUGAGCGAUUAUUGAUUAGGUUACCUGUCCUGUUUCUACACAGAGAAGAUGAAGUCCACUGAUGGAGUCAGGGCUUCGGGUUUCCGUCUGAUCAGUAACUAGUUCCAUGGCCUUGCAGCUGCCUGUGGGCCACUGUAAAGGACAGUUUGGGACCAGGCACGUCCAUGCUCCCUCUAUCUCUAAUAAGCCAAGAGGCUUACCUUAGUUUUCAGAGGCUUUUGGUGGGGGAAAGGUGAGCAGGAGUUUGGAGUGUGCAAACCCCACGGGGAGCUCAUCUUGCGACUCUGCUAGUGCAGGACUGGGACAGAGGUGGGUUGGGGGGCGAUGGAAGAGAGAUGGUGACCUGGGAGGGCUGAUUGUCUGGAGCACGGUGACAGUUCAGUUGCCUCUGUACAAACUCGUAAGGGACGACGGACGCCAAAGGAAAAAUCUGCGUGACCAGACCUUGGGACCUACAGGCACUGGGAGCUGAGGCUGUACCUGACAACUGGCACCCCACCCUCUCUUCCUCCUUCACCUGAGAUCUGUCAUCCUGAACGUCUCAUUCAGAAAUGAGCCCCUGUAAUUCCUCCUUUGGAGGGUGGAUUCCAAAUGCUCUGGAUAAGGGCCCAUUCUUAGAGCUCAGCCAGAGGAGCGGUCUUGUUCGACCCAUCAGAGAGGCAGGGCCGCUCGCUCCCUCUCCCGCAGCGUGGUGGGUGGAGAGGACGUUGGCCGUGAUAUCCGUGUCCCCCACAGACCCUAAACUUUGAAGGUCUGUCCCAGCAGCUGGUUCUCUCCAGAUGGUUCACUGUCUAAGCAGCGUGUCCCUGCUUGGACAGUGGUUGCCCCAUGGGCCUUGGUGUAGGUGUCACGGAUGUUCUCAGGGAUAUUCUCACAGCAGUGAAAUCACCAUGAUUCCAAUGUUUUUAUCUGUUCUAAACAUUUGUCCAAACUUGUCACUUGUCCAGAAUGGGUGUUUGUCCAAACUUGUCACUUAGUUCUGUGCCCAGAAUGGGUGUUAAAAUGACCUGAUGGGGGUGUUCCCCUUGUGGCUCAGC